GCUGAACUUAAGCAUAUCAAUAAGCGGAGGAAAAGAAACUAACAAGGAUUCCCUUAGUAGCGGCGAGCGAACCGGGAUCGGCCCAACUUGUAAAUCAUUAGCCUUUGGCUGAUUGAAUUGUAGUCUCAAGAUGCGUUCUCUGCGGUGAGCAGUGCCCAAUUUUCCUUGGAAAAGGGAGUCAGAGAGGGUGAGAACCCCGUCGGCACUUGCUUCAACUGCUCCACGAGGCGCUUUCUCAGAGUCGGGUUGCUUGGGAAUGCAGCCCUAAGUAGGUGGUAAAUCCCAUCUAAGGCUAAAUAUUGACGGGAGACCGAUAGCGAACAAGUACCGUGAGGGAAAGAUGAAAAGAACUUUGAAAAGAGAGUCAAAAGUGCUUGAAAUUGUUGAGGGGGAAGGAAUUGGAAGCCGUUUGUGCACCUGGGCUUAUGUUGGCAGUUCUGCUUUCUGUAUGCACCAGGAGCCGGUCAGCAUCGGCUAUCAGACCGGGAUAAUAACUCUACUUUGUGGAGUGCAUGCCGGCUUGGUGGCUGAGGAAUUGCAAGGCGCAGUAGUCCUUCGGGAACGGCACCUUCAAGAUGCUGGCAGAAGGCCUUCAAUUCGCCCGUCUUGAAACACGGACCAAGGAGUCUAACAUGUAUGCGAGCCGGUGGGUUUGACACCCAUGAGACGCAAGUAACCUGACUGGUGGGAUGGGUAAUACCUGCACCAUCGACCGACCAUGAUCUUCUGUGAAAGGUUUGAGUACGAGCAUACCUGUUGGGACCCGAAAGAUGGUGAACUAUGCCUGAGCAGGGCGAAGCCAGAGGAAACUCUGGUGGAGGCUCGUAGAUGUGCUGACGUGCAAAUCGCUUCG
Molecule: ribosomal RNA, 853 nt
Filed under: Trebouxia crespoana
Lineage: Eukaryota; Viridiplantae; Chlorophyta; Trebouxiophyceae; Trebouxiales; Trebouxiaceae
Description: partial large subunit ribosomal RNA
Rfam family: Eukaryotic large subunit ribosomal RNA
Source: RNAcentral